RNA transcript from Macrosteles quadrilineatus (aster leafhopper), 4156 nucleotides. It is a transcript of the gene named phosphatidylserine synthase-like, with no coding region annotated. The transcript is spliced from 9 exons. Lineage: Eukaryota; Metazoa; Arthropoda; Insecta; Hemiptera; Cicadellidae. The record is from RefSeq and is a predicted model, not a curated record.
UACAAGUUAGUUUGAGUUAGUGUUAGUGUUAGUGUUUGAUUUUGAUUUGAUAGCAGUGUCAAGGUCGAAAUAUCAAUAUUAUUAGGUUAAAAUACGAUUAUCACAAUCACACGCUUUUGUUAGUCUCGUUUGCGCGAGUUAAAUAUUGUUCCUUACCUUCUAUGUUUCUCAGAAUAACUUACCUAUUUAUUUAGAGAUCUUACUAUUUCUCUGACUAGUCUGUGUGGACUAGUUUCUCAUAAAAGGCCUAGAUCAAGCCUGAAUUCUAGGACCUUCAACAUAUUUUGUAUAAGAUCAAAUGUCAAAUUUAUUUGCGAUUUGAGAGAAUUUCAAGAUGACCAUUCGGCGUCCAAGUAGUUAUCCUAAAAGUUUUUUGGACACUUUUAAUAGUGUGAAUGAAAAGAUUGUGGAAGACAUAUCCAUAGAAUUUUUCUAUAAGCCACAUACGAUUACUCUGUUAGCAGUUUCUAUAGCAGCAGUGGUUUAUUCAUCAUUUAUAAGAGAUGAACAAGAUAUUAGUGCCAAUAUUAGGGCAGGAGUCUUUUGUGUUGUAUUCUUCUUUAUGAUAAUAUCAAUUUUGGCAUUUCCAAAUGGACCUUUUACAAGACCACAUCCAGCUGUUUGGAGAAUGGUUUUUGGACUUAGCGUGUUAUAUUUGAUGCUACUCGUGUUCUGCCUGUUCCAAAACUACAAAACAGUGAAGCAAAUAAUAUACUGGUUUGAUCCAGAACUUGAACACUUCCACAUAGACAUGGAUAGGGAGUAUGGUGUCAAUUGUUCGAACAUCUCGUUUGAAAACAUAUGGAAUCACGUGGAUGUGUUUGCUGUGGCCCACUUCCUGGGAUGGGCCUUCAAAGCUCUGCUGGUCCGCCAUCUUGGAAUUCUCUGGGCAGUCAGUGUCAUGUGGGAGUUUACAGAGAUUGCGUUUGCUCAUCUCUUACCAAACUUCUCCGAGUGCUGGUGGGAUGCUCUAGUUCUUGAUGUAUUGGUCUGCAAUGGUCUCGGUAUUUGGGUCGGUCUCAAAAUCUGUAAAAUGCUUGAGAUGAGGGAAUACAAGUGGGUUAGUAUAAGGGACAUCCAUUCAACCACAGGCAAGUUGAAGCGAGCAGUGUUGCAGUUCACGCCGCGUGACUGGAUGGAAGUGAGAUGGCUUGACCCGUCCACAACUUACAUGCGCUUCUUUGCCAUCUGUCAGCUCGUCAUCUUCUGGCAAGUGUGUGAACUCAACACUUUCUUCCUCAAACAUAUCUUCGAGAUGCCUCCGUCCCACCCCCUGGUGUUGUGGAGGCUGUUGCUUGUCGGGAUUAUUGUCGCACCCUCUAUAAGGCAGUACUAUAUGUACGCUACAGACCCAAGCUGCAAGAGGGUUGGUACUCAAUGCUGGGUGUACGGAGCCAUCAUGGCUACCGAGGCACUCCUCUGCUUCAAGAACGGACGAGAGUUGUUUGGACAAACACAAGCGACCAACAUCUGUAUCUGGCUACUGCUCAUCUUCUUUCUAUCUUGCCUGUGCGUCUACGGCUGCGUUCUGUGGCACAAAUACUUUCAGACGGAGAGUAUGUACUCUAGAGAAACUUCUCCCUGUAAAUCUCCAUCCUCGGAUCUCUCAGAGAGCCUCUCAGAAUCCAGCCAGGCCAGCACAGCAAAGACAGCCCUGCAUUUUAGCCCUGAAAGCUUCCCUGAGGAUUUGAGGAGAAGAAGGCAGGUUAACGGAGUCAACACAUCCUAGUUUCCUAGGCUCUAGUCAUCAGUUUGGUUACCUCGUUAAUAGUCAUUUGUGUGCAACUAACACUGUUGUAAGAAGGUCAGAAAUGAAGCAGAACAUGUUUCAUCAAGAAUUAUUGACAUACAUGUUCAAAAUACUUUUAUUAAAGAUCAAUACAUAUAUGUAUUCUAUUGUAUGAUAUUAACUCAUGAUCAGUGAUUUGUAUAGGAUUAUAAGUAAGCCAUAUUGUAAAUAAUAUGAUUAUCACAUUGUGAACCUGUAAUUAUAAAAAUAUAAUCUCAUUUUCUGUGAUACAUUUAAGGUUGAAGGUUAUUCAGUUUAGCACAAACUCUGGACCUGGUUUAUUACAAAACCCAUAGUUUUAUAUGUCUGAAAAAUGCUCUGACUGUGAGAAUUUGAACAACCCAACAAAAGAAAUAAAUUAAUAUAAAUAUAUUUUAUCACAGAGAUUUUUUCUUGGACAUAGGUUUCUUAGAUAGUUCAUUGUUACAGGUUUAAAAAAAAAUUUUAAAUCACUGUGACACUCACCUCCUCAAUCAACUAAAGAGUACAUUUUUCUCAUAUCGCUUUAAAAAUAGGGAUAGUAAUCUUAUUCAAAGCACUAGAAUACCUGAAUAAUAGUAUAAUAGUUUAUUACUUUUGCCUGGUAUUAGUUUGGCUAUAGAAUAACCUUAUUCUAGUGCCGUCUUUAACUAAAUUAUAUUGAUGUUUUAUUGUAACUGUUAUUGUAUAUUUGCGGCAUACUAAAAUCAACAGCUAUCCUGGCUCAUUGGUUUACACUAUUGUUGGGUAUUUAACUAUUGUUUAUGUUUGUUAAUUUUCUCCCAUCUAUAUAUUCAAAAUUAUUGGUUUUUCUUUUAGAGUUGGUUCAGCUCUUAUACUCAUCUGAUUUUCAUAGUUUUGGUCUUAAAUUAAAGGUAUGCAUGCACAGAUUUGCCAUUAAGCAUCCACAUUCAUUUAUCUGAUGUAUAUUUUGAGUUAUGCACAAAAGCAACUUCCUACGGUUACAUUUCUUAUGGGAGUUAAAUUUGGCGUUUCUCUUCCGAGUUCGUUUGGCUCUUCUACCCAACCAAUUUUCAUCAUCUUGGUUUUAAUAAAAAUUAAAGUUAUGCAUGCACAGAUUUGCCAUCAAGCAUCAUCAUUCAUUUAUCCACUGUAUUACUUGACCAAAAAACAGAAUUUGAUUUUUUUUUAAGUUCUUACUUCAACUAAAGAUGUACAGGGUGAGGCAGUGAAACGGCACGAUUCCGAUACCAGUUGACAAGGAAUUGGGGGCUAUUUAGAGUAUAGGGGAAAUGACCAUAGGCGUCUAGACAAGUGGAAAUUUCAGUAGCCACGGAGCGUUGGACGAGGGCACAACACACGUUUGCUGUAAAUACAUACUACAAAAACGUGGAUAUUAUGGUUUGUCCUCAGCGCAAUUUCUGUUGUGAGUUCAGACCAUCGCCGCGGUCUCCCUUGCCUUCAAGGAAAGUUGUCCUCCUCUUGGGUGAAUAACUUUGAAGCCACUGCUAGUACGACAAAGCGCUAUAAAACGAUUGCAGACGUUAUGCAAACGCUAAAAAACGUCAUGGGCUGAUUUCAAUUCACAUUUCAACAAUGUUUGCAAAACCAAGUAUGUUAUUUUACUGAUUACAAAAAAUAAUUAUUUUUAAGCUGAAACAUGUACUAAGGAUUUAUGUUAAAACAACUAUCCAUUUUUUCUAAAUGAAUUAUUUGUGAUUUUUCAAAAUCGUGCCGUUUCACUGCCUCCCCCUGUAUAUCACCAGUUCUAAUUACAUUAUCCUAUAUAUUCUGGUCUUAGAACCUUCAGUGAAAUACCAGUUUCAUUUGAGCUAUUGAUUAUUAAGAUCAGACGUACCUGAAGCACUCUGCUGAAUCACGAAUCAUCAAUAAUUAUUAUUUGAGGACUUAUCUGUAAUCUAUGAUACGUAACUCCAUUUUUAUUUAAGUUAUUUUAUAUGUCUUGGUCUUAGUUAAAACACUCCUAGAAAUAAUGGCUCUCAUUUGAUUUUUUUCAUUUGUAUUUUUUCUCAGAAGUUUUUUUUUUGUAAAACUGGCUGUGACAUAAAUGUCGGAAUGGAAUGUUCAGUUCACCGUUCCGUGAAUAGACAACAGACAUUUCUAAAAGCCUAACCGUGAUUUUGUGCUAAACUGAACAGCUGUACUUGCUCAGUUUCAAGACCUUCUCGGAUCUCUAGUAUGGCUUGUACUGUAGGUUCAUUGUUCCCAGGUGUACAAUCAGCUGUUGGACAGUGAUAAUGCAUGUAAAAAAUAUAUAGUUUUUUACUUUACUGUACUUACGGUCUGUCAGCCGUUAAAUGCUGUAUAUCGUCAGCAUUUGUUGCAAGUUCUCUUGUUCAUUAGUUGUUGUAUUAUGUGUUAUUGUUGUCAAUUUUAAAAAGCCUGUAAUUAAAGUUGGAAAAAACA